Cajanus cajan (pigeon pea) is the source of this 4183-nucleotide non-coding RNA. The record is from RefSeq and is a predicted model, not a curated record. NCBI's taxonomy places the organism in Eukaryota, Viridiplantae, Streptophyta, Magnoliopsida, Fabales, Fabaceae.
UUAGACAAUGUGAUAAUAGUAAGUUAGUGAGUGGAUUUUGGAUCUGGCCUAUUAUUCCAUCACUGCUAGUUACUAAUCCAGAAGUUGUACUCGAGUUGGAGUGUGACUGAGUUUGGUGUCUUAAUCUCUAACCGAAAAUGUCACUCACCUUGCAAACUCCGCCCCCUGCAGCUCUCUCGUCUGCUGCAUCGUCUUCUUCCUCCAUUCACCGAACAACGAGAUCCACCUUCUCCUUCUCCCUCCGCUCCACACCUUCUCUAACUCUCCACUCCCUUCCUCAAACUCGCGCUUCAGCUUCCUCCAUCAAUACCGCGUCGACUACCGAACUCGAUGCUGUGUCCGCCUUCAGCGAGAUCGUUCCGGACACCGUCAUUUUCGAUGAUUUCGAAAAGUUUCCUCCAACUGCUGCUACUGUCAGUUCAUCGCUUCUCUUGGGAAUUUGUGGCCUUCCGGACACCAUAUUUAGGAAUGCUGUGGAGAUGGCUCUGGCUGAUUCCGAGUGUUAUGGACUUGAAAAUCCUAACGCGCGAUUGUCUUGUUUUGUCAACAAGGCCUUCGCGAAUGUUGGUAGUGACUUGGCAAAGCUUGUGCCUGGCCGUGUUUCGACGGAAGUGGAUGCACGGCUUGCUUAUGACACGCAUGCCAUUAUCAGGAAGGUGCAUGACCUAUUAAAGUUGUACAAUGAUAGUAAUGUACCUCCUCAUCGUCUGCUGUUUAAAAUUCCUUCAACUUGGCAAGGAAUAGAGGCUGCUAGGUUGCUGGAAUCUGAAGGCAUACAGACACAUUUGACCUUUGUCUACAGCUUUGCUCAAGCUGCCGCAGCAGCUCAAGCUGGUGCUUCUGUUAUUCAAAUUUUUGUUGGUCGCAUAAGGGAUUGGGCUCGCAAUCAUUCUGGUGAUACAGAGAUAGAAUCUGCCCAACUAAGAGGAGAGGAUCCAGGGUUGGCAUUGGUGACAAAAGCUUACAAUUAUAUUCACAAAUAUGGACAUAAGUCAAAGUUGAUGGCAGCAGCAGUUCGCAACAAACAGGAUCUAUUUAGUCUUCUGGGGAUUGACUAUAUCAUAGCUCCUUUAAAGGUAUUGCAGUCUCUCAAAGAAUCUGUUGCUUCUCCUGAUGAGAAGUACUCUUUUGAUAGGAGGUUAUCCCCUCAGUCUGCUGUCAAGCACGUGUUUAGUGAUGAAGAGCUUGUUAAAUGGGACCAAGAUAGCCUCGCAAACGCCAUGGGGCCUGCUGCUGUGCAGCUUCUGGCUGCUGGUCUGGAUGGUCAUGCUGAUCAAGCAAAGCGGGUGGAAGAUUUGUUUGGGAAAAUUUGGCCCCCACCAAAUUGCAACUCCUUAAUGAAGGAUGUUUGAAGAUGUCACUUUGAUUUUCCAAGGUAAACACGCUAUGAGCUCAAGUUCCAAGUUGUGUAUCAGACUCAACAUAAAGAUCAACUCAGAUGAAGAUAAGUAGUUCUUUUACCUAACUUUUGUUGGUGUGAAAAUGGGGAGUAGAUAUUUUAUAUAGUUUUUGAAAAUUGUAUUUUAGUUUUUGAAAAGUUAUUAGUUGUUUUGUAGUAACUAUAUUUUGCUCUACACAAGUUCAUACUUUUAUGCUUUGAACAUAAUUGCUCUAAUGAACAAGUUUUCAUUUAUGCACAUUCUUAGGGAGAGUGCUUUUUUUCACUUAGUCUCUUAUAUUUUGCUCUAAUAGUCAUGAGUGUUCACAUAUAUAUAUAUAUAUAUAUAUAUAUAUAUGUUUGUUUGUUUGUAUAUUUGAUAUGUCAUGUUCUGAUAGAAAUUUGCUUUUGCUUUGAUACAUACUUUCUGUUUUGCUUUGAAAUACAUUUGCUUUGAUGUUGUGUUAUACAUUUUCUUUGGAUAUGACUUAAUAUGAUUUUGCAAUCUCUAAUAUCUUGUUUGGAUAUGUGUUUCAUAUGAUCUCUUCAUAUUUACAAAGCUUUGAUGGAAAAUCAUUAUAUGAAUAAACUCUUUUCUUGUGAAAAUCACAACUUUUGUUGUGAUAUCAUGUGAUGUUUCUCAAAAUCGUCUCCAUGAAACCAAGUCUUUUUCUCAUAAUUUUUUUUAAAGUUUUUAGUAAAAAGAAACUACUUCUCCUUAUCUCCAAUAUCCCUCUAUUAGUUUGAAAAGAAAAAGUUUAGUCUUGCAUGUUUUUCUAUCAAAACCUUUAUUUCAAAAAUGAAUGCUUGUUACCAUUAAAAAGAAAGAGAAUGUUAUGUCAAAAGACAAUCCUAGAUCCCUCUAGUUUUAUGCUUUGCUAUUAACAAACAAAGCUUUUGAUAAAAAAUAUAAGUUUUAAAAAUGACUAAGACAAAUCUUCUACUAAAAUGCAACCUGUCAAUUAGUCGAAUCUUUGUAUAAGAUGAAGUACUCAUUAAAAUGUUGUGUUAUUGACUAAGAUGAACCUUUAGUCAUGAAAAGAGAUAUACAUUAAAUCCUUAUCAUUUAUCUUUAACCAAGGAAUUGACUAUGAAUGAAUGUUUCUUGAACUGAUCAAACUUAAAAAAUAGUUCCUCGAUACUAACACUCUAAUAAAAGGAAAGAAAGACAUGUUUUACAUCAGAAACGGACAAGCAGAUCCUUGCAAACACGAAAAACUGUAGUUAAAAGUUGUUUCAUCACUAUAGCAUCUUGACACAUGCAUGGUUCUACCUACUUGGUACCUAAAAGGUGACAAGUAGCUUUUUUGAUUAGAUAAGAAGCGACAACUUAGUAAAAGCAUUUAAUGCAAACAUUUAUUACAUCAAUAGACAAUUCUCUCCUCAAGAAGCAAAUCCUAAAGACAAACAAAACAAACCAUUAGAAAAAACUCAAGGGUUUACAAUGGUCAUUUUCAUUAAAGCACUACAUAAAGAAGUUUAAUGCUAAAAAAGAAGAGGACAAUGUGAUGAAAAAUCAAUUGUAAAAAGUCACAUUCUUUCUCGUAAAAAGUCUUUAUACUUUUUGUUGUAUCACGUCUUCAAAGGAAGACGAAACAAUUUUGUAAACCUUUGUAACUUUGAGUUAUAGGGUUUGAACCUAGAAAAACUUGUCUGAAAAAUAAUACUCAAGUUUGAGCCUAGAGAGACAUAUUUGUAAAAGAAUACUUGGUAUUGAAGUUUGAAGAGGCUUUGUGUAAAAAGAAUAUUUGGGUAGUUGCUUGAAAAGGCAAAUCAAAAAGCACUUAUUAGGGUUGAGUCAGAAAUGGCUUAGUAAAAAAUAACUGUAUCUUGAGUAAGAUAGUGAAACUUGAUCUGGUUGGAUCAAGAACUGGACGUAAUUUUGAUAGUUGAGAUGAUCCAAUAUAAAAACACCUUGUGUUCUAACUAUUUACCUUUUUUGUCUACACUCCUUACUAUAACAUUUUUACCUUAUUUUGCAAAAAAAUGUAACUUUUUUGAGUGACAUUAUUUAACCCCCUUUUAGUCUUUUUUUUUUUUAUUUCUCCAUAAUCAUUUUAACAACUUACAAUUUAAACAUCAUCAUAUAAUAUAUCAAUUUACAACAUACAAAUUCAUUAUCAUGCAUCACCCAUAUGACUUAUUCAUCAUCAUUCAACUAUAAAAGAACUUAAAACAAUAAAUUUUUACCAUGCAACUCACGCUUGACACUACUCAAAGGACCCCUGACGCCAUUGAGGUAGAAGGUUCUCUAUCUCGUCCACACCCGAUGCCAAACUACUUGUAUCUAGUAUGGUUGAGGCAAAGAGUCUCCUACUCUUUCACGCCUAGUGUGGAAAGAGCCCAUGCUCGACCUCAACGUGUAAGGGUCUCUUCACAAUUCAUGCCUGAUGCCACUCUAUUGGAGCCUAUCCUGAUUUCAACUCGAGAUGAUACUCUCUUCUCACAUUCGACGCCAUUCAAAUUACUCUCAACGUGAUUUCAACUUGAGAAGACUUUUUCCCUUCAUGCCCAGUGGCAACAAUGUUGCAUCCAACGUGGGGUUCAAAUCAAAGAGGAGAAGAGAAGAUGAAGACAAAGCAACCCUCUACACAAUUCUAACUGAAGAUCUUUAGCUCCACAAGUUUGGUUUUUCCUACCCAGUCAAGUGGAUCCCGCUACAGGAAGUGAGAAAAGAAAGGAUUUUAGUGAAAGGGAAGAAAAGGUUUCCAAGCUCUAAAGGACUUCUAUCUAGCUUUUUUUAGAACAUGAAAUUAUGAGCUCACAUAUCUUAAGAGAACCCUAACAUACUUUUCUUGAAGUUGA